This 497-nucleotide ribosomal RNA is filed under the name uncultured bacterium. RNAcentral describes it as "partial 16S ribosomal RNA". It matches the Rfam family "Bacterial small subunit ribosomal RNA", at positions 28 to 507 of the family's 1533-position model. The record is from RNAcentral.
GAUGAACGCUGGCGGCGUGCCUAAUACAUGCAAGUCGAGCGAACGGACGAGAAGCUUGCGUCUCUGAUGUUAGCGGCGGACGGGUGAGUAACACGUGGAUAACCUACCUAUAAGACUGGUAUAACUUCGGGAAACCGGCGCUAAUACCGGAGAAUAUUUUGAACCGCAUGGGUCAAAAGUGAAAGACGGUCUUUCUGGCACUUAUAGAUGGAUCCGCGCUGUAUUAGCUAGUUGGUAAGGUAACGGCUUACCAAGGCAACGAUGCAUAGCCGACCGGAGAGGGUGAUCGGCCACACUAGAACUGAGCCACGGUCAAGACUCCUACGGGAGGCCGCAGUAGGGAAUGUUCCGCAAUGGGCGAAAGCCUGACGGAGCAACGCCGCGUGAGUGAUGACGGUCUUCGGAUCGUAAAACUCUGUUAUUAGUGAAGAACAUAUGUGUAAGUAACUGUGCACAUCUUGACGGUACCUAAUCAGAAAGCCACGGCUAACUACGUG